UGCAGUCGAGCGGUAGAGAGAAGCUUGCUUCUCUUGAGAGCGGCGGACGGGUGAGUAAUGCCUAGGAAUCUGCCUGGUAGUGGGGGAUAACGUUCGGAAACGGACGCUAAUACCGCAUACGUCCUACGGGAGAAAGCAGGGGACCUUCGGGCCUUGCGCUAUCAGAUGAGCCUAGGUCGGAUUAGCUAGUUGGUGGGGUAAUGGCUCACCAAGGCGACGAUCCGUAACUGGUCUGAGAGGAUGAUCAGUCACACUGGAACUGAGACACGGUCCAGACUCCUACGGGAGGCAGCAGUGGGGAAUAUUGGACAAUGGGCGAAAGCCUGAUCCAGCCAUGCCGCGUGUGUGAAGAAGGUCUUCGGAUUG
This 366-nucleotide ribosomal RNA is filed under the name Pseudomonas sp. 6DI. Its description in RNAcentral is "bacterial SSU rRNA". It matches the Rfam family "Bacterial small subunit ribosomal RNA", at positions 56 to 425 of the family's 1533-position model. Lineage: Bacteria; Pseudomonadati; Pseudomonadota; Gammaproteobacteria; Pseudomonadales; Pseudomonadaceae. The record is from RNAcentral.